CUCCUGUUUGAAUACUUGUAAAUGGUGGAGAUCCCUACUCGUAAGCCAUAUAUAUUCCUGUAUGGGACAAAAAAUCAAAUCAAAUGAACAUGGGACCAUAUGAAUGGCGAGUUAUUGGAUCUUUGUUUGGGAGACUUCGUAACAGCAUCCUGUUACAAUUACUUCUUGUUAUUUACACCACUGGGUCGAUGCCACUGCUGGUGGACGUUUCGUCCCCGAGGGUAUCACCAGCCCAGUAGUCAACACUUCGGUGUUGACAUGAAUAUCAAUCAUGUGGUCAUUUUUAUAAAUUUCCUGUUUACAAAACUUUGAAUUUUUCGAAAAACUAAGGAUUUUC
Molecule: long non-coding RNA, 337 nt
Filed under: Mytilus galloprovincialis (Mediterranean mussel)
Lineage: Eukaryota; Metazoa; Mollusca; Bivalvia; Mytilida; Mytilidae
Source: RNAcentral